UUUAACUGAAGAGUUUGAUCAUGGCUCAGAUUGAACGCUGGCGGCAGGCUUAACACAUGCAAGUCGAGCGGAGAGAGGUAGCUUGCUACUGAUC
Molecule: ribosomal RNA, 94 nt
Filed under: Acinetobacter pittii
Lineage: Bacteria; Pseudomonadati; Pseudomonadota; Gammaproteobacteria; Moraxellales; Moraxellaceae
Description: partial 16S ribosomal RNA
Rfam family: Bacterial small subunit ribosomal RNA
Source: RNAcentral